Molecule: long non-coding RNA, 2468 nt
Filed under: Malus domestica (apple)
Lineage: Eukaryota; Viridiplantae; Streptophyta; Magnoliopsida; Rosales; Rosaceae
Description: long non-coding RNA (MDOM_LNC006386)
Source: RNAcentral
UAGUUGCCUUAGGGCCUUAGGAUGACUAUGAACCUUUGAUUAGAUCCAACACAAGCCUAGUGUUGAAUCUCGGUCUAGGGAUGGUGAUUGAUUUUAGUUACGCGUUUAAUCAUAUUAAGGCGUGUUUCUCCUAUUGGGCGUUGGACCCAACUACUCCAAUUUCAUGCAUAUCAAAUAAAACAAGAAAGGAGUACUUCAAAGUAAGGAAGAGCUUAUACUCUUUUACAACAUUUGAUCAAAACAAAUUACUUUAAAGUAAAAAAGAGCUUAUGCUCUUUUACAACAUUUGAUCAUAUCAAAUUACAACAAAAAUCUAAUCUACACAUUCCCAUGGUUCAAACAAAUUUGAGACGGCCUUUCACAUAGCUCAAUUAUCGUAGGCUUAGGUUCAUAAUCACCCUUUAAUUAAUUAACGCUUUAACUAAUUAAACUUUGAAUGCAACAUUGUCAUUUGGUUUUUGUAUCCAUAGAAUUGAUUUAAAUGGAGCUAAAUGAAAUGAAAAUCCAAUUCUCAUUUAAAGAGACAAAACCAUUUUGUUCUCAACCUAAUUUGGGCCAAAUUGCAAUAACCUCAACUUUUUGGGCUAUGUUGCAAAACUUAAACUUUUGAGCUUAUUUUGCAAAAACACAAAAGUCCAUUACUUCAUGUAAUUACAAUUAGAACCUAAAAAUUUCAACAAAUUCAAAAACUUUAUUAAAGGAACAAAACAAUUUGUCCUUUAAUGAUUUUGGGCCUUUACGUAAAAAUGUAAACUUUUGGAUCAAACUGCAAAUACACAAAAGUAUCAAAACUUUAUGUAAUUGCAUAAAAGCCCCAAAAGAACCCUAUUUUAAUAGGGUGGCCGGUUAUAGAGAGUGAAGGGAGUGAUGUGUGUGUUGAUUUGUAGGUUUGACAUAAAGUCAUGCAAGUGUUGCAAGUGGUGUAUGACAUAAAUUCAUGCAAGUGGUACAUGACAUAAAUUCAUGCAAGUGGUGUGUGUGUAAGAGAAGUACUUCUUUCACACCCAUCACCAUUUCUAUCACCUUUCAAAAUUUCAAUCACAUUUAAACAUUUGAAAAAGCACAAAACAAAGACUUUAUGAAAUAAAUCAAAACACCAAACUUUUUGUUCUUGGCUAAAACAUCAAGAACAAUGAAGAACAUUCAUGAAAAACCCAUAAAAGCUCCAUGAACAUUUUUCACCCAAAGACAUCCCAUAAACACUCAAACUUAAGGGAAAUAACAUAUAACCAUACUAGGGUACAUAGGGGUUCCAAAAGUCACUUGAAAACACUUUUAACAAGACAAACAAGAACCCAAAAAUCCACCUUUUGGAUUUGGCCGAAAAUCCCCAAAAACAUGGCACCAAAUUUUAGCUCCAAAAUUCAUGCUCAUAUGAACUACAUCUACAACAUUUGAGAUGGCAAAUUUUCUAACAAAAUUUAUAUUCAAAGAAGCAAGAAUAAAGCUUGUAACAAUUACAACAUUCAAAUCAAAGACUAUGAACUACAAAACCCAAAAGGAUUCACCAACUACUAGACCUAGGCUCUGAUACCACUUGAAGGAAAUUUUGUGCAAAACAUGUUCAUUUGAGCAACAUCUAUAUAGCAUGCAAUUAACAAUUAAAGGCGGAAUCAUGCUUGCAUGCACUCAAAACAAAAGAUUACCCAUUAAAUUCAAAGCCUAGUAGUUAGGUGAACCAAGACUCAACUCAAAACAAAGUGAGUUGAGAAAUUUAUACCUUUGUAGAUUCCUCUUUGCAAAAGCAAAGGAUAAUCACCCAAGAGAUAGGGCCUUCAUUCCUUGCUUCUUAGAUCCAUGGAUUUGGAUGGAAGAAUAGGUUUCUCCAAGUUCUCAAAAUUGAGAACCUCUAAGUCUCCACACCAAGGAAAGAUUUUAAGAAGAAAUGAGUGACCUAGAGGAAGUAAGAUUGCUAGCUAUUUUCCUCUAGGGUGGCCGGCCUCUUUAGAGAGAAAAGAGAGCUUGUGUUCUCAUCCUUUCUCCAAAAGAAAACCCUAAAUGAAUUUUGACUAUAAAGUCAUAUUUAUACCUUCCUUCAUUGGAGUGGAAAACUUGUAAUUAAAGCAAGUUCACUACCCUCCUCUAAAUGGCCGGCCUUAAGGGUUUAUUGGGCUUUCAAGCCCUUUGUUUAUUCAAGUUGUCAUACAACUUGAGUUAAUGGGCUUGACAUUCAAAUCCCAUUGGGCCUUGCGGCCCAAAACUAACCCUCGGUCUAUAACGAACUUAUUCGUUUGAUUAAUUAACAUAUUAAUUAAUUCUAGCCAUAAAUAAAUAAUUAAACCAUUUAAUUAUCCUUACUCAUCUCCGUUGUUUCUUCAAUCUCUACCUUACACGGUGUACAAUCCAUUAGGUUCCUUUUAGCGAGGCAGUGGGCGAUUAGAACUCUUUCAAAUCAAUUGUGAAUUGAAACUUACUUUCAAUUCUCCCUUUAGUGAUUAUACAUGUUUAGGGCUUCCACAAACCAUGAG